UCUCUCUCUCUCUCUCUCUCUCUCUCUCUUUCUUUCUUUCUUUCUCUAUUUCUCUAUUUCCUUUUGUUAUGCCCUUGUCCAGUUUUGGAAUGUGUGUAAUACUGGCUUUGUAGAAUGAGUCCUUUUCCUUUUUAUUUUAUGGAAGAAUUUUAGAAGCAUUGUUGUUAGUUUUUCUUUUAAGAUCUGAUAGAACUCCGCAGUGAAUCCACCCAUUCUGGGCUUUUCUUUGUUGGGAAACUCAUGAUUUAUUUUUCUCUGUCUAAAGAAAACACAUACACACAUUUUUAGGUCUUUUCACUAUAAAGACAAAAGUUACUCAAUAGCAGUGAAUAUUCUUUGUCUAGAUUUUGGCUUCUAAAUACUCUUUUUUUUCCGAAAAGGAUCAGUGUUUCUUGAAGAAAUCAUCUGUUCAGGUCAGGGAAGAUAUUAUACAAGAUGAAUCAAAGACAUCUUCCUACAUUAGAAAACAAGAAAAGUUGGGUGCCCGUGACAAACACCUGUCAUCCCAGCAGCAAGGGAGGCUGAGAUUGAACAAGUCACUGUUACACUCAAGAGGGUAAAGAACUGUGAGAAAGUCUGCUCGGUGGAAAGAAAUUGGACAUGGUGAUACGUGUCUGUCAUUUGAGGUAGUAAAACAGGAGGAUCAUGGUCCAGGCUGGGCAAAACUUAAGAUCUAUCUCAAAGUAGCUGAUACUAAAAAGGGCUACAGGGAUGGUACAGUGAUGGAGUGUCUGCUUAGGAGGUACAGGACACUGAGCUGAAAACCUAGCUCUAAGAAAUAGAGAAAGGGAGAGAGAGAAAGAGAAAAGUGGAGGAAGGAAAGGAGGGAAGGAAGGAAGGCAGGCAGGAAAACUGUAAGAAGUCAUUGUAGACAUGUCCAAAAUUUAAGGGACAACUUGAACACACUUUCUUUGUCCAGAGAUGGGGCAAUACAAACAUCAUAAAGAAAGACAAUAAUGAAUUGCAGAAUCACACAAACACACACACACACACACAGACCACAUACAUUCAUACAUAUUUUCACUUCUUACAUGAAAUUAUAAUUAUU
Perognathus longimembris pacificus (Pacific pocket mouse) is the source of this 1048-nucleotide long non-coding RNA. RefSeq lists it as uncharacterized. The transcript has 2 exons. Lineage: Eukaryota; Metazoa; Chordata; Mammalia; Rodentia; Heteromyidae. The record is from RefSeq and is a predicted model, not a curated record.